GCGAUCAUAGCUCAGCUGGUUAGAGUGCCGGAUUGUGGUUCCGAAGGUCGUGGGUUCGAAUCCCACUGGUCGCC
RNAcentral lists this transfer RNA (74 nucleotides) under Bacteroidales bacterium. Its description in RNAcentral is "tRNA-His". It matches the Rfam family "tRNA". From Rfam's summary of the family: Transfer RNA (tRNA) molecules are approximately 80 nucleotides in length. Their secondary structure includes four short double-helical elements and three loops (D, anti-codon, and T loops). Further hydrogen bonds mediate the characteristic L-shaped molecular structure. tRNAs have two regions of fundamental functional importance: the anti-codon, which is responsible for specific mRNA codon recognition, and the 3' end, to which the tRNAs corresponding amino acid is attached (by aminoacyl-tRNA synthetases). tRNAs cope with the degeneracy of the genetic code in two manners: having more than one tRNA (with a specific anti-codon) for a particular amino acid; and 'wobble' base-pairing, i.e. permitting non-standard base-pairing at the 3rd anti-codon position. The record is from RNAcentral. Lineage: Bacteria; Pseudomonadati; Bacteroidota; Bacteroidia; Bacteroidales.